RNAcentral lists this long non-coding RNA (349 nucleotides) under Elaeis guineensis (African oil palm). RNAcentral describes it as "long non-coding RNA (EGUI_LNC033493)". The record is from RNAcentral. Lineage: Eukaryota; Viridiplantae; Streptophyta; Magnoliopsida; Arecales; Arecaceae.
GCUUGCUAAUAGGCCGAUAUAUAGGAAAACAUAUCCAAUUGGUAUGACCAAGCAUAUGAACUACCAAGAGGAUAUAAGAUACCUGAGUUUUUUCAUUUUUUAAGAGAUGAUGGUAUAUCAACUGUUGAACAUAUGGGGAGAUUUUUUAUCUAGUGCAGUGAAGCAAAGGAAACGACUUUUUCAAGCUACAGUUAUUUGCAAAUUCUUUCACUAGAUCUACUUUUUUUCUGGUAUGUAAAUCUGAUCCCUAACUCAAUUUGUUCUUGAUAAAAAAUAAAAAGUUAGUUUCAUACACAAUUCUAUAGAACUGAACCUGAGGUGUUAAUGGUAGAUUUGGCUAGGUUGACAC